Peromyscus maniculatus bairdii (prairie deer mouse) is the source of this 551-nucleotide non-coding RNA. The record is from RefSeq and is a predicted model, not a curated record. Lineage: Eukaryota; Metazoa; Chordata; Mammalia; Rodentia; Cricetidae.
UAGAAACAUUAUAAAUGAAAAGUCAUGGGGAAUACUGAGCUUGGUCAUUCCAUGAAAUAUAAGAGAUCUAGAGAGUAGAGGGAGUUGCCAAUGACUCUAUAGGAGAGGAAGAGGUCAGGGCAGGAUCAUAUCAGGUGUUUCCAGUGAGGUCUAACUGAGGAGGUAAGCUACACCCUGAAUGUAGGUAGCACCAUGCUAUGGUCAACAAGAAAGGGCAAAGAAGAAAGCCUGCUGACAUGACCACUGUCAUUGCCCACCCUCUGCUUCCUGAUUGAUGCCAUGGAUCAGACUGGUCCUGCCACCAUGCAUUCCCAACCAGGGGUUUCCUUUCUGCAUGCCUAUUUCCAGUCCUUCCCAGCUACUGUUGCAGAAGUUUCGAUGCGGAUUCCAGAAGGUCAAGGGUAUUGAAAGUGUCAGCGCAUACCUCGCGCUACCCCCACGUCAGUCCCUCGAGAAUAUUCUAUUUUACAAAGCAUUUUUUUUUCAAAAAACAAACCUACACACUUCUGGACCAAUUCAUCUGCAAUUUGCUGUACUUCAUAGAGCUCAAA